RNAcentral lists this ribosomal RNA (301 nucleotides) under uncultured bacterium. RNAcentral describes it as "partial 16S ribosomal RNA". It matches the Rfam family "Bacterial small subunit ribosomal RNA", at positions 509 to 807 of the family's 1533-position model. The record is from RNAcentral.
CAGCCGCCGCGGUAAUACGAAGGGGGCUAGCGUUGCUCGGAAUGACUGGGCGUAAAGGGCGCGUAGGCGGAUUGUUUAGUUAGGCGUGAAAUUCCUGGGCUUAACCUGGGGACUGCGCUUAAUACAGGCAGUCUAGAGUGAGGAAGAGGGUUGUGGAAUUCCCAGUGUAGAGGUGAAAUUCGUAGAUAUUGGGAAGAACACCGGUGGCGAAGGCGGCAACCUGGUCCUUGACUGACGCUGAGGCGCGAAAGCGUGGGGAGCAAACAGGAUUAGAUACCCCCGUAGUCCCUGUCUCUUAUAC